Molecule: long non-coding RNA, 1571 nt
Filed under: Homo sapiens (human)
Lineage: Eukaryota; Metazoa; Chordata; Mammalia; Primates; Hominidae
Description: non-protein coding LINC01128:66
Source: RNAcentral
GGGGUCUCGGGCAGGGGCGGGGAGCUUACCGACCUCCCGCCCCCGCUGCGCGCGUUUCUGGCCCUGCCAGUGUCUCCGCCGGUUGAAAGCGCGUGUCUGCGUCGGGUUCUGUUGGAGUGCGUUCGGUGCGCCGUGGGUCCGCGCUGCUUCCACCCAACUUCCUGUUAGUUUCUCUCCUGUCACAAUGGCAUGAUCUCGGCUCACUGCGACCUCUGCUUCCUGGGUUCAAGGAUUCUCCUGCCUCAGCCUCCCAAGUAGCUGGGAUUACAGGUUACAUUAGUUAUACACUCUGGAGGUGACUUGACCUGUCAUUGUGAACAAUUAUUGCUCUUGGACGACCCAGGACAUAGGCCAGCCAGUACGUACCCCAGUGUGUUGGAGAAUCGCGCUCGGCUUCUUCCUCUGUGCUGAGUCAUGAAAGUUGCCGGAGCAGGUGCAGUUACACAACCUCCAGGUAUGAUCCUGUUUAAGGACUGGAUUUAGGAUAACUACUUAGAGGUUAAAAGUCACAAGGGUGUAUGGAUGAGGCUGGAGUGAUCUGGGACCAAAGACAUCUAGGCUUGCUGUCAAGGCUUCUGAUCAACAUGAGAUGACCGCCGUGUGGUAAACUGAUGAACCCUGACCCUGAUCAACAUGAGAUGACCGCCGUGUGGUAAACUGAUGAACCCCGACCCUGAUGAACGUGAGAUGACCGCCGUGUGGUAAACUGAUGAACCCCGACCCUGAUGAACGUGAGAUGACCGCCGUGUGGUAAACUGAUGAACCCCGACCCUGAUGAACGUGAGAUGACCGCCGUGUGGUAAACUGAUGAACCCCGACCCUGAUGAACGUGAGAUGACCGCCGUGUGGUAAACUGAUGAACCCCGACCCUGAUCAACGUGAGAUGACCGCCGUGUGGUAAACUGAUGAACCCCGACCCUGAUGAACAUGAGAUGACCGCCGUGUGGUAAACUGAUGAACCCCGACCCUGAUCAACAUGAGAUGACCGCCGUGUGGUAAACUGAUGAACCCCGACCCUGAUCAACAUGAGAUGACUGCCGUGUGGUAAACUGAUGAACCCUGACCCAUUAGGCUUUGGCUACAGAAUGUGGAAAUAAGUUGUGUUACUACAUGUGUGUAAUCCUAGGGUGCAGGACACCGGCCGGGAGGUUCCAUAGAGUGAUGGGUUCUGCAGGUAACUCAUCCUCUAGUCCUCUGUAAGCUCCUAGAAGGAAGAAAUUAUGUCCUUUAGACUAAUAAAAUUCCUCCAAACCAAAUACAGCACCUACUGUGAAGACACAAAGAUACUUUUAGAAUAGUAAAAACUUUAUCCAUUGAGAAAUUCCUUAAUGAAACAGUAUCCAAGAAGUCAUUUGCCAGCAGAUUUCUUAGAGGUGCGAUAAAGAAGAGGACAUUGCCAGUCGUCACAGCAGCUGCAAUAGCUCCUCUCUAUUGUUAAACAGUGGGAUAUCUUGUGCAGGUUUUCAGUUGACAAUCAAUUUUAAAGAUUAGUUUCGGUCCCCAUCAAUCAAUUAUUUAUUAACCCAUCAAUAAAAAUUUAAAUGCUCUGUGAGGUACAAUAGCUAUUAAAA